AACCCAUGGUGAGGGCACCUUUGCAGUAAGUCUUUGUAUCUCUCCCAUGCAUCGUAAAGUGUUUCUAAAUCCAUCUGCACAAAAGAAGAGAUAUCAUUACAUAAUUU
Molecule: small nucleolar RNA, 107 nt
Filed under: Gossypium hirsutum (cotton)
Lineage: Eukaryota; Viridiplantae; Streptophyta; Magnoliopsida; Malvales; Malvaceae
Description: Plant small nucleolar RNA R71
Rfam family: Plant small nucleolar RNA R71
About the family: R71 is a member of the C/D box family of snoRNAs containing the C (UGAUGA) and D (CUGA) box motifs. Multiple nearly identical copies of this snoRNA have been identified in Arabidopsis, and it is thought to function as a 2'-O-ribose methylation guide for 18S ribosomal RNA.
Source: Rfam by way of RNAcentral